RNAcentral lists this ribosomal RNA (513 nucleotides) under uncultured bacterium. Its description in RNAcentral is "partial 16S ribosomal RNA". It matches the Rfam family "Bacterial small subunit ribosomal RNA", at positions 28 to 507 of the family's 1533-position model. The record is from RNAcentral.
GACGAACGCUGGCGGCGUGCUUAACACAUGCAAGUCGAACGAAAAGAGGGAAAGAGCUUGCUCUUUCCGGAAUUGAGUGGCAAACGGGUGAGUAACACGUAAACAACCUGCCUUCAGGAUGGGGACAACAGACGGAAACGACUGCUAAUACCGAAUAAGUUCCAAGGGCCGCAUGGUCCAUGGAGGAAAAUGUGGCCUCUACUUGUAAGCUAUCGCCUGAAGAGGGGUUUGCGUCUGAUUAGCUGGUUGGAGGGGUAACGGCCCAUCAAGGCGACGAUCAGUAGCCGGUCUGAGAGGAUGAACGGCCACACUGGAAUUGAGACACGGUCCAGACUCCUACGGGAGGCAGCAGUGGGGAAUCUUCCGCAAUGGGCGAAAGCCUGGCGGAGCAACGCCGCGUGAGUGAUGACGGCCUUCGGGUUGUAAAACUCUGUGUUCCGGGACGAAAAGGCAGAGUGCGAAGAACAAACUGCAUUGACGGUACCGGAAAAGCAAGCCACGGCUAACUACGUG